RNAcentral lists this long non-coding RNA (629 nucleotides) under Homo sapiens (human). RNAcentral's name for it is "HSALNT0381841". Lineage: Eukaryota; Metazoa; Chordata; Mammalia; Primates; Hominidae. The record is from RNAcentral.
CGGGGCGGGUGGCGGGUUCAGGGCGGGCGAAGCCGGCCCAGCCGGUCCCGUGCUCGGCUCGCAGGCGGCCGCCGGGCCUGUGUCAUCCACCAGGAAUUUCUGUUUUCCCCUCCGCGGGGCUGGAAGAAAAAACAAUAAUUAGGGUGACUCUGACGAUUAAAGACGCAUAUUUUUGAUCCCAUGAGGACCCUAAACGCAAGCCAGCGACUUUAUCUGGUGCUCAACUGAAGAUAUAGCCACAUUUUCCCACAUUGGAGGAAGACUGUUUUGGACUUACUGAGAGGUACUAAGUCCGGGUACUGUACCUAUGAGUGACUGAAGACAUUUUCAAGGGGUCGUCUGGACUUAGCACAUUUAUCUCCUUCACUCCGACCUUAAGACAACCCCCACUGUGAAGGACAGGAUGCCAGGACAGGGGCACCUGCCUGAGUCAUUUGGAGGAUGAGCCGUGAGACUGGGAAGGUGGACAGCAUCGGGGUAUAAAGGAUCUUGCGGGUUAUGGUACCGACUUCAGACUUAAGAGAACCAGGGAGCCAUGGUUUACAGCAGGGAGGUGGGGGACAGGAUCUGAUUUCGGAAAACUUAAUAGCUCACAAUAGCCACGAUUUAUUUGGCUCCUAUUACAUGCU